CCGGUGCGUAGGGCGGGAGUUCUUCGCCUUCUAAGCGAUGGUUAUUGGUUCGAGUCCAGUUGCCGGCCCA
RNAcentral lists this transfer RNA (70 nucleotides) under Micromonospora cremea. Its description in RNAcentral is "tRNA_Pseudo_TCT". The record is from RNAcentral. Lineage: Bacteria; Bacillati; Actinomycetota; Actinomycetes; Micromonosporales; Micromonosporaceae.